Molecule: ribosomal RNA, 305 nt
Filed under: uncultured bacterium
Lineage: Bacteria
Description: bacterial SSU rRNA
Rfam family: Bacterial small subunit ribosomal RNA
Source: RNAcentral
UAACCCUACGGGAGGCAGCAGUCGGGAAUAUUGCGCAAUGGAGGAAACUCUGACGCAGUGACGCCGCGUAUAGGAAGAAGGUUUUCGGAUUGUAAACUAUUGUCGUUAGGGAAGAAAAAAGACAGUACCUAAGGAGGAAGCUCCGGCUAACUACGUGCCAGCAGCCGCGGUAAUACGUAGGGAGCGAGCGUUAUCCGGAUUUAUUGGAUGUAAAGGGUGCGUAGACGGGUUAGCAAGUUAGUUGUGAAAUCCCUCGGCUUAACUGAGGAACUGCAACUAAAACUGUUAAUCUUGAGUGCAGGAGG